RNAcentral lists this long non-coding RNA (947 nucleotides) under Triticum aestivum (bread wheat). RNAcentral's name for it is "long non-coding RNA (TAES_LNC016323)". The record is from RNAcentral. Lineage: Eukaryota; Viridiplantae; Streptophyta; Magnoliopsida; Poales; Poaceae.
AAAAUUACCCAUUUACAUAAUCUAGCAAACUUUAAGCUAGCAAUCUUGUGACCACAAGUUUAUUACUAUGGACAUUUGCAUUUGUCUACUUCUAAUAUAUGAAAGAAUUAAAGGGGUAAGCUAUAGCCCAUGCCAUGCAUUUGAGGCGCUGGUGGGUGCUCACUCCUAGGCUGACACGUUGUAUGCAAAAAAAAUUUGACUUCUUUUAACUUUCUUUCAAGGAUCUGCCGCUGAGGGCCACCGAAUAAUCUAGAGCACUACCCACCCCAAUCCAUCGCUCCUUCCCUAAUAAUCUUGAGAGGGAGAGAGAGAGAUGGAGAGAAAGAGGAGCUGCACUGGAGUCUCUUUUCUCCCAGCUUGCACAAUGCGUACACUCCUGAAUUAUUUAAUCAAGUUACAAGGAAAUUCAUUAACAAUACUGAAAAAGGUCUGCCUAUAUUGCUUCUAAUUGCCAACAAUUGAACUUUAUAAAAAAAAUGUACAUUCAGGAAAAAUAGUAAUUUUUGUUUUGCAAUUUGCCAAAUAUUUUGUACAUGCCAAAAAACUAUAGAUAUGCAUGACACACCUCUUAAGGGACAUUAGCCGCAAUUCUGAUCUUCCGACGGUCCUUGGACGGAUUCCUAGGGUAUGAGAAUUCAUAAGACAAAAAGCAGGAACACUACCUGAACUGGUUUUCGUCAUGGUGGACUGUCUGGUUAGAUCAAACACAUACCUUAUAUUUUAUUAUGUUUUGCUUCAUGUAAAAAGCUUAGGACCGUGUCUAAUGAAAAAUUAAGUUAUUCUGACAGGGAACUACCAUGGAGUAAAUGGUGCCACAACAUAAAACAAACAAGUUCAAGAAUAAACUGAAAGCAAGGCGCUCUCUACCGAAUUCGAAAUUUUGAUCUUCAGGAUGCCAAGAAGAUUUACAAAGCAGUGACUUUCCGUUGAGAAUUUGCUUGCUAAAA